Molecule: ribosomal RNA, 253 nt
Filed under: uncultured bacterium
Lineage: Bacteria
Description: partial 16S ribosomal RNA
Rfam family: Bacterial small subunit ribosomal RNA
Source: RNAcentral
UACGUAUGGUGCGAGCGUUGUCCGGACUUACUGGGCGUGAAGGGGGCGCAGGCGGCGCGCCAAGCCCGAUGUGAAAGCCCGGGGCUCAACCCCGGGACUGCAUUGGGAACUGGCGUGCUGGAGUGCCGGAGGGGCAGGCGGAAUUCCUGGUGUAGCGGUGAAAUGCGUAGAUAUCAGGAGGAACACCGGUGGCGAAGGCGGCCUGCUGGACGGAUACUGACGCUGAGGCCCGAAAGCGUGGGGAGCAAACAGG